UCUCCUGCUUUGAGAAAGGAAGAGAUCAGGUUGGUCUGGCAUGAUCUAACCUGUGUAAAACCAUGUUGUAUUUUAUCCCAAUUACCAUUUAACUCUAAGUCCUUAACUACUUCCUCUUUCAAAAUGUGUUCCAAGACCUGGCAUACAAUUGAGGUCAAACUAACAGGCCUGUAG
Molecule: long non-coding RNA, 174 nt
Organism: Chelonia mydas (Green sea turtle)
Lineage: Eukaryota; Metazoa; Chordata; Testudines; Cheloniidae
Exons: 3
Source: RefSeq, a predicted model, not a curated record